RNAcentral lists this ribosomal RNA (308 nucleotides) under uncultured bacterium. Its description in RNAcentral is "bacterial SSU rRNA". It matches the Rfam family "Bacterial small subunit ribosomal RNA", at positions 29 to 332 of the family's 1533-position model. The record is from RNAcentral.
AUUAAACGCUGGCGGCAUGCCUUACACAUGCAAGUCGAACGGCAGCACGGGGGCAACCCUGGUGGCGAGUGGCGGACGGGUGAGUAAAGCAUCGGAACGUAUCCUGGAGUGGGGGAUAACGUAGCGAAAGUUGCGCUAAUACCGCAUAUUCUGUGAGCAGGAAAGCAGGGGAUCGCAAGACCUUGCGCUCUGGGAGCGGCCGAUGUCGGAUUAGCUAGUUGGUGGGGUAAAGGCCCGUACCAAGGACGACGAUCCGUAGCGGGUCGUGAGAGGAGUGAUCCGCCACACUGGGACGUGAGACACGGCCC